RNAcentral lists this ribosomal RNA (696 nucleotides) under uncultured bacterium. Its description in RNAcentral is "bacterial SSU rRNA". It matches the Rfam family "Bacterial small subunit ribosomal RNA", at positions 32 to 715 of the family's 1533-position model. The record is from RNAcentral.
AACGCUAGCUACAGGCUUAACACAUGCAAGUCGAGGGGAAACGACAUCGAAAGCUUGCUUUUGAUGGGCGUCGACCGGCGCACGGGUGAGUAACGCGUAUCCAACCUGCCCACCACUUGGGGAUAACCUUGCGAAAGUAAGACUAAUACCCAAUGAUAUCUCUAGAAGACAUCUGAAAGGGAUUAAAGAUUUAGCGGUAAUGGAUGGGGAUGCGUCCGAUUAGCUUGUUGGCGGGGUAACGGCCCACCAAGGCGACGAUCGGUAGGGGUUCUGAGAGGAAGGUCCCCCACAUUGGAACUGAGACACGGUCCAAACUCCUACGGGAGGCAGCAGUGAGGAAUAUUGGUCAAUGGGCGAGAGCCUGAACCAGCCAAGUAGCGUGCAGGAUAACGGCCCUAUGGGUUGUAAACUGCUUUUAUGCGGGGAUAACGUGCACCACGUGUGGUGUAUUGCAGGUACCGCAUGAAUAAGGACCGGCUAAUUCCGUGCCAGCAGCCGCGGUAAUACGGAAGGUCCGGGCGUUAUCCGGAUUUAUUGGGUUUAAAGGGAGCGUAGGCCGCUGUUUAAGCGUGUUGUGAAAAACCGGGGCUCAACUCCGGUCGUGCAGCGCGAACUGGACGGCUUGAGUGCGCGGUAAGUGGGCGGAAUUUGUGGUGUAGCGGUGAAAUGCUUAGAUAUCACGAAGAACUCCGAUUG